AGAGUUUGAUCAUGGCUCAGAUUGAACGCUGGCGGCAGGCCUAACACAUGCAAGUCGAACGGUAACAGGAAGCAGCUUGCUGCUUCGCUGACGAGUGGCGGACGGGUGAGUAAUGUCUGGGAAACUGCCUGAUGGAGGGGGAUAACUACUGGAAACGGUAGCUAAUACCGCAUAACGUCGCAAGACCAAAGAGGGGGACCUUCGGGCCUCUUGCCAUAGGAUGUGCCCAGAUGGGAUUAGCUAGUAGGUGGGGUAACGGCUCACCUAGGCGACGAUCCCUAGCUGGUCUGAGAGGAUGACCAGCCACACUGGAACUGAGACACGGUCCAGACUCCUACGGGAGGCAGCAGUGGGGAAUAUUGCACAAUGGGCGCAAGCCUGAUGCAGCCAUGCCGCGUGUAUGAAGAAGGCCUUCGGGUUGUAAAGUACUUUCAGCGGGGAGGAAGGUGUUGAGGUUAAUAACCUCAGCAAUUGACGUUACCCGCAGAAGAAGCACCGGCUAACUCCGUGCCAGCAGCCGCGGUAAUACGGAGGGUGCAAGCGUUAAUCGGAAUUACUGGGCGUAAAGCGCACGCAGGCGGUCUGUCAAGUCGGAUGUGAAAUCCCCGGGCUCAACCUGGGAACUGCAUUCGAAACUGGCAGGCUAGAGUCUUGUAGAGGGGGGUAGAAUUCCAGGUGUAGCGGUGAAAUGCGUAGAGAUCUGGAGGAAUACCGGUGGCGAAGGCGGCCCCCUGGACAAAGACUGACGCUCAGGUGCGAAAGCGUGGGGAGCAAACAGGAUUAGAUACCCUGGUAGUCCACGCCGUAAACGAUGUCGACUUGGAGGUUGUGCCCUUGAGGCGUGGCUUCCGGAGCUAACGCGUUAAGUCGACCGCCUGGGGAGUACGGCCGCAAGGUUAAAACUCAAAUGAAUUGACGGGGGCCCGCACAAGCGGUGGAGCAUGUGGUUUAAUUCGAUGCAACGCGAAGAACCUUACCUACUCUUGACAUCCAGAGAACUUUCCAGAGAUGGAUUGGUGCCUUCGGGAACUCUGAGACAGGUGCUGCAUGGCUGUCGUCAGCUCGUGUUGUGAAAUGUUGGGUUAAGUCCCGCAACGAGCGCAACCCUUAUCCUUUGUUGCCAGCGGUUAGGCCGGGAACUCAAAGGAGACUGCCAGUGAUAAACUGGAGGAAGGUGGGGAUGACGUCAAGUCAUCAUGGCCCUUACGAGUAGGGCUACACACGUGCUACAAUGGCGCAUACAAAGAGAAGCGACCUCGCGAGAGCAAGCGGACCUCAUAAAGUGCGUCGUAGUCCGGAUUGGAGUCUGCAACUCGACUCCAUGAAGUCGGAAUCGCUAGUAAUCGUGGAUCAGAAUGCCACGGUGAAUACGUUCCCGGGCCUUGUACACACCGCCCGUCACACCAUGGGAGUGGGUUGCAAAAGAAGUAGGUAGCUUAACCUUCGGGAGGGCGCUUACCACUUUGUGAUUCAUGACUGGGGUGAAGUCGUAACAAGGUAACCGUAGGGGAACCUGCGGUUGGAUCACCUCCUUA
Molecule: ribosomal RNA, 1535 nt
Filed under: Enterobacter hormaechei
Lineage: Bacteria; Pseudomonadati; Pseudomonadota; Gammaproteobacteria; Enterobacterales; Enterobacteriaceae
Description: SSU rRNA
Rfam family: Bacterial small subunit ribosomal RNA
Source: RNAcentral